CAGCCGCCGCCGCGGUAAUACGGAGGGUGCAAGCGUUGUUCGGAAUUACUGGGCGUAAAGCGCGCGUAGGCGGCUUUUUAAGUCAGAUGUGAAAGUUCACGGCUCAACCGUGGAAGUGCAUUUGAAACUGGAAAGCUUGAGUAUCAGAAGGGAUGGUGGAAUUCCCGGUGUAGAGGUGAAAUUCGUAGAUAUCGGAGGAAUACCGGUGGCGAAGGCGACCAUCUGGCUGAAUACUGACGCUGAGGUGCGAAAGCGCGGGGAGCAAACAGGAUUAGAUA
This 278-nucleotide ribosomal RNA is filed under the name uncultured bacterium. RNAcentral's name for it is "partial 16S ribosomal RNA". It matches the Rfam family "Bacterial small subunit ribosomal RNA", at positions 506 to 784 of the family's 1533-position model. The record is from RNAcentral.